UAUACACUGAGUUUGCAGGUGGCUGU
This 26-nucleotide non-coding RNA is filed under the name Homo sapiens (human). Lineage: Eukaryota; Metazoa; Chordata; Mammalia; Primates; Hominidae. The record is from RNAcentral.